UACGGAGGGUGCAAGCGUUAAUCGGAAUUACUGGGCGUAAAGCGUGCGUAGGCGGUUCGUUAAGUCUGUUGUGAAAGCCCCGGGCUCAACCUGGGAAUGGCAAUGGAUACUGGCGAGCUAGAGUGUGUCAGAGGAUGGUGGAAUUCCCGGUGUAGCGGUGAAAUGCGUAGAGAUCGGGAGGAACAUCAGUGGCGAAGGCGGCCAUCUGGGGACAACAC
Molecule: ribosomal RNA, 218 nt
Filed under: uncultured bacterium
Lineage: Bacteria
Description: partial 16S ribosomal RNA
Rfam family: Bacterial small subunit ribosomal RNA
Source: RNAcentral